UUAGAGUUGGUGUCCUACAAUACCCUCUCGUGACUCUGGUGUAGGGGUGAAAGGCCCAUCGAACUUGGCAACAGCUGGUUCCAACCGAAACAUGUCGAAGCAUGACCUCUGAUGAGAUAGUUCGUGAGGUAGAGCGACCGAUUGGGAAUCCGGACUCCGAGAGGAGUUCGCUUCCCUGUCAAACUCCGAACUUACGAACGUCGUAGACUCAGGGAGUCCGGUGUGCGGGGUAAGCUUGUGCACCGUGAGGGAGACAACCCAGAGCCAGGUUAAGGACCCAAAGUGUGGAUUAAGUGUGAUUGAAGAUUGUCUCGAGCCCUAAACAGCCGGGAGGUGAGCUUAGAAGCAGCUACCCUCUAAGAAUAGCGUAACAGCUUACCGGCCGAGGUUCGAGGCGUCGAAAAUGAUCGGGACUCAAAUCCACCUCCGAGACCUGGCGGCGUGUCACACGACACGAUUCCGUAGGUUGGCAUACUGCAUGGGUGGAAGCACGGGUGAGAACUCGUGUGGACCGUGCAGCAACGAAAAUCAUGGUCUCAGUAGCAGCGAGAGUCGGGUGUGAACCCCGACGGCCUUACGCGCAAGGGUUCCUCGGCACUGUCAAUCAGCCGAGGGUUAGUCGAUCCUAAGUCUAUCCGUAAUUCGAAAUAGAUGAAAGGGAAACUGGUUAAUAUUCCAGU
The sequence is a ribosomal RNA, 680 nucleotides long. It matches the Rfam family "Archaeal large subunit ribosomal RNA", at positions 852 to 1532 of the family's 2987-position model.